CAGUUAGAAGAAAAGAGCGAAGA
Molecule: non-coding RNA, 23 nt
Filed under: Cricetulus griseus (Chinese hamster)
Lineage: Eukaryota; Metazoa; Chordata; Mammalia; Rodentia; Cricetidae
Source: RNAcentral